RNAcentral lists this ribosomal RNA (253 nucleotides) under uncultured bacterium. Its description in RNAcentral is "partial 16S ribosomal RNA". It matches the Rfam family "Bacterial small subunit ribosomal RNA", at positions 524 to 776 of the family's 1533-position model. The record is from RNAcentral.
CACGUAGGGCGCAAGCGUUGUCCGGAAUUACUGGGCGUAAAGGGCUCGUAGGCGGCCAACUAAGUCAGACGUGAAAUCCCUCGGCUUAACCGGGGAACUGCGUCUGAUACUGGAUGGCUUGAGUUUGGGAGAGGGAUGCGGAAUUCCAGGUGUAGCGGUGAAAUGCGUAGAUAUCUGGAGGAACACCGGUGGCGAAGGCGGCAUCCUGGACCAACACUGACGCUGAUGAGCGAAAGCCAGGGGAGCAAACGGG